AUUGAACGCUGGCGGCAUGCUUUACACAUGCAAGUCGAACGGCAGCGCGGGCUUCGGCCUGGCGGCGAGUGGCGAACGGGUGAGUAAUGCAUCGGAACGUGCCCAGUAGUGGGGGAUAGCCCGGCGAAAGCCGGAUUAAUACCGCAUACGACCUGAGGGUGAAAGCGGGGGACCGAAAGGCCUCGCGCUAUUGGAGCGGCCGAUGUCGGAUUAGCUAGUUGGUGGGGUAAAGGCUUACCAAGGCGACGAUCCGUAGCUGGUCUGAGAGGACGACCAGCCACACUGGGACUGAGACACGGCCCAAACUCCUACGGGAGGCAGCAGUGGGGAAUUUUGGACAAUGGGGGCAACCCUGAUCCAGCCAUGCCGCGUGCGGGAAGAAGGCCUUCGGGUUGUAAACCGCUUUUGUUCGGGAAGAAAUCCUCUGGGCUAAUACCCCGGGGGGAUGACGGUACCGGAAGAAUAAGCACCGGCUAACUACGUG
Molecule: ribosomal RNA, 484 nt
Filed under: uncultured bacterium
Lineage: Bacteria
Description: partial 16S ribosomal RNA
Rfam family: Bacterial small subunit ribosomal RNA
Source: RNAcentral